This is a non-coding RNA of Cinara cedri, 243 nucleotides long. Lineage: Eukaryota; Metazoa; Arthropoda; Insecta; Hemiptera; Aphididae. The record is from the annotation of a GenBank genome assembly.
GGAAAACUUUGCAGCAUAUAACGACCCUCAAAAAUAUAAUCUCCACUUUAAAUUUUUCUACCUGCGCUGAAACUCUAAUUUCAACCCAAACGCCACGAUUCGUAUUCUAAAGGUACCGUUAACUUAGUCCGAUACGUGUACAUGCGGGUAGCCUCCUCUUAAAAUAACGAACAUUUCGCUGUCUCCGCGUCGUAUACGCACGACAUCAUAUACAAUUUGCGUUCAACAUAAUCAAUGUCGGGC